This 61-nucleotide transfer RNA is filed under the name Danio rerio (zebrafish). It matches the Rfam family "tRNA". From Rfam's summary of the family: Transfer RNA (tRNA) molecules are approximately 80 nucleotides in length. Their secondary structure includes four short double-helical elements and three loops (D, anti-codon, and T loops). Further hydrogen bonds mediate the characteristic L-shaped molecular structure. tRNAs have two regions of fundamental functional importance: the anti-codon, which is responsible for specific mRNA codon recognition, and the 3' end, to which the tRNAs corresponding amino acid is attached (by aminoacyl-tRNA synthetases). tRNAs cope with the degeneracy of the genetic code in two manners: having more than one tRNA (with a specific anti-codon) for a particular amino acid; and 'wobble' base-pairing, i.e. permitting non-standard base-pairing at the 3rd anti-codon position. Lineage: Eukaryota; Metazoa; Chordata; Actinopteri; Cypriniformes; Danionidae. The record is from Rfam by way of RNAcentral.
GGCUCUGCAGUGCAAUGGAUAGCACAUUCAAAGGAUGUGGGUUUGAGUCCCACCAGAGUCG